This 432-nucleotide ribosomal RNA is filed under the name uncultured bacterium. RNAcentral describes it as "bacterial SSU rRNA". It matches the Rfam family "Bacterial small subunit ribosomal RNA", at positions 354 to 796 of the family's 1533-position model. The record is from RNAcentral.
GUCGAGGAUCUUCGGCAAUGGGCGCAAGCCUGACCGAGCGACGCCGCGUGAGCGAUGAAGGCCUUCGGGUUGUAAAGCUCUGUCGGGGGGGAGAAAACCGCAAGGUUGAUCUAUCUCCGGAGGAAGCACGGGCUAAGUUCGUGCCAGCAGCCGCGGUAAGACGAACCGUGCGAACGUUGUUCGGAAUCACUGGGCUUAAAGGGCGCGUAGGCGGGCCGUCCAGUCCGGGGUGAAAUCUUUCGGCUCAACCGGAAAAGUGCCUUGGAUACUGACGGUCUCGAGGGAGGUAGGGGUAUGUGGAACUUCCGGUGGAGCGGUGAAAUGCGUUGAUAUCGGAAGGAACGCCGGUGGCGAAAGCGACGUACUGGACCUCUUCUGACGCUGAGGCGCGAAAGCCAGGGGAGCGAACGGGAUUAGAAACCCCUGUAGUCC